Long non-coding RNA from Orcinus orca (killer whale), 7348 nucleotides. RefSeq lists it as uncharacterized. Lineage: Eukaryota; Metazoa; Chordata; Mammalia; Artiodactyla; Delphinidae. The record is from RefSeq and is a predicted model, not a curated record. The transcript is spliced from 4 exons.
UCCCACAGGUGAUUCAGAUACGCCCUCCCUGUGAAUGAAAUCUGCUAGACCUGCUCUGUCCAAUACGGUAGCCAUUAGCUAGGUGUGGUUCUUCAAAUUCAAGUUCAGUCAAGUAAAACAUUCAGCUCUUCAGUCUCACUAAUUACAUUUCAUUUAAUUAAUCCACUAAUUACAUUGCAGCUAGUGGCCACUGUAUGGACAGUGCAGCUACAGAACAUUCCUGCCAUCACAGAAAGCACUAUUGGGCAGUGCUGCUUUAGAACCUGGCUUCCCAGACGGUCAGCAGCACCCAGAGAGAGCAUCAGAAUGCACACUCUCAGGCCCCGCCCAGACCUACUGGAUCAGAAGCUGUAUCUUAUCAGGAUACCCAAGUGACAUGUGGGCGCAUGAAUGUCUGAAAAGCACGGCACUAGCCAGUUCUCAACCUUGGCCGUAUGUUAGAAGCACCCCGGGAGCUUUUUAAGAAGAUUGAGGCUUGGACUUCCCUGGCGGUCCAGUGGUUAAGACUUCACACUUCCACUGCCGGGUGCACAGGUUCGAUCCCUGGUCAGGGAACUAAGAUCCUGCGUGCUGUGCGGCGCAGCUAAAAAAAAAAAAAAAGCCUGAGGCUGAAGCCACACCUCAGACCAAGUAAGUCAGAACGCUUGGGGAGGGACCCAGGCAACAGUCUUUAAGGUUUUCCAGGUGAUUUCAAUGGGCGGCCAAGGUUGAGACCCACUGCAUGGUCUACAACCUCUGGGGGUCCAAAAGCUUCUGCCCUGCAGUGGACACCUGUGGGAUUGUUAGACUGACGCCACUAUUUGAGGAAGUGUCUUUUCUGAAUGGUUGCAGUAAGAGCCGUCACAUUCCUAUAAUGUCACCCCCACCACACACACACACACUUAACCGUGAGUUGAUUGAAUGCCUCAGGUACGCUGGACCAAUGAGUUCUUUCCCUUGGAAUUUUGGAACUGAGACUGAAUGUCUCUGGGUGACUGAAUCUGUUAGAUGUGAGGGUUGGGAACUCUCAGUGCUCCCUCUCCCAUCACGCGGACCAGAGAGAGGAGCACUGGAGAGAAAGAAAGAGAUUUCUGAUGCUGUUUGAGUCUCUGGUUCCAUUUCCCUCCAGAUGCCCAGCUAUAGUCUUGUCCUUGGCUCAUGCGUCCUUAUAAUACAUUUCCCUUUGUGCUUAAUAGUUUGGGUUGGGUUUCUGUGACCUGCAACCUGCAAAUGCUUAUUUAAUAUAAUCCUAGGCCUGUUAACUAUGUUCCAGAACAGAAUUUAUUUUUUUUUAAAUUUUGGUCUCAUGGCUUGCAGGAUCUUAGUUCCCCGACCAGGGAUUGAACCCGGGCCCACGGUAGUGAAAGAGUCCUAACCACUGGAUCGCCAAGGAACUCCUGGAACAGAAUUUCCAACUAGAUCCCACAGAACUCACGUUCCUCCAGCAACGACAGCUCCACACCUUCCCCUUCCACAUUGUUGAGGACCUCAAUGAACCUGGCUCCUGAGCAAAAUGUGGAGGACACCAACCUCAGGCUAGAAGAGCAGCAGCAGCAGGCGCCAGGGGAGACAACCCUUCAGGAAGACGGUGCUGUCUUCCUGCCAUGCUUACGCCACCCAUCCUGGCUGAAGCCUAAAGACUCCUUCUUAAGCAACGUUACUGCAACCAGAGUUCUGGGUUUCAUGCUUCAAGUGGCCUUCAUCCACAACCCACAACCCACAUCUCACCACUGCCUACUGAGCAAGGUGUGUUUGGACCUUGCCACGCCCACCUGGGAUCAAGAGGCAGCAACCAGGAAUGGCAGGGAUGUGAUCAGUGCGGGAGGUUCCUGAUUCGUGCUCCAGACCCCACAUCAGCACAGCUGAGGGCUCCAAGCAGAACGUUGGUGAAAAGUUGCUUUACACUUCAGAAUUUCAGCUUCUGCAGAUGAAGGAACGUGCAGUCAACCCUCAGCUUCUCCCAACCAGAUGGAAUUAAACCGCACUCCCUCUUCGUGUUCUCUGUAAAGUGCAGCCUCAGGUGUGAGAAGCGGGCAGCAGACGGGCACAUUUUAUAGUUGGACACUGAGGCUUAGAAGGGUUGAGUAGCCUGUCUGGGGUGACUAACGAUCCUAUUUUGCCCAGGCCUGUCCUGGUUUUAGCAUUGAAAGUUCCAUGUCCCAAAAUACCCUUAAUUUUGGGCAAACUGAGAAAGCUGGUUAGUGUCUUCCAAAGUCACACAACUAGCAAGUGCUGGAGCUGAAUCUGAACCCAGAUCUCACCAUCUCCCAUGUCCUCCUCCUGCUGAAUGAGUGAAUUCCUGAGCAGGUCAAUCACGUGAAAUAUAUUCAGAGCAACAAGAGAUCCAGGUGUUUCCUGAUGCUCUUCCUUUCCCUUUUGCCCUCUCUGCAGGGGUGCCCAGACCAGCUGAGAGUUCCAUCCCUUACCCAGGGCCAUCCUGAUGCCUACAGGGAAUAAGGACAGGGCCGCUGAGCUCAGGAGAGCUUUAUCACUGUCAGGGCCUGCCCGGUCUCACCUACCUGGCUCCCCAAGAUCUCAAGAGUCAGAGAUUCCAACCUUGAGAGCUGUGAAAAAUGAUGAGAAUGAAUUAGAGAGGUCCCAAGUGCCACCUCUUUGGGGAAAUCUGGGGAGAUGGAAAGAACCUGGGCUUUGGAACCAGUCAGCCCUGGAUUUAAUCUGAGCUUCCCAUCUUUUUUUUCUUUUUUUUAUACUUAAAAAAAUUUUAAUUUUAUUUUGGAGUAUAGUUGAUUAACAAUGUUGUGUUAGUUUCAGGUGUACAGCAAAGUGAUUCAGUUAUACAUAUACAUGUAUCUUUUUUAUACAUAUAUCAUGUAUUCUUUUUCAAAUUCUCUUCCCAUUUAGGUUGUUACAGAAUACAGAGCAGAGGGACUUCCCUGGUGGUCCAGUGGUUAAGACUCCACACUUCCAAUGCAGGGGGUGCAGGUUCGGGGAACUAAGAUCCCACAUGCCAUGCGGCAUGGCCAAAAAAAGUAAAAAAAGAAUAUUGAGCAGAGUACUCUGUGCUGAGCUUCCCAUCUUAAUAGCUCCAAGGGACUUGGCAGUCUUCUUAAUUUGUGCCUGAAUUUCUAUUUUUCCCAAAUUCCCAACUUGAAGGGCUGUUGAGAUAAUAUUAAAUACUUUAUAUAAAGAACCUCAUUUAGCACUUCAGUCCUUGUUUACCUUGACCUAGCAUUGCUUCUCAUCUCAUCUUUCAAGACCAUAAAGAUCUGCCCCUCCACACUAGGGACCGCCUUAGACCUUCUUACCAUUCAGGAUUGCUCUACAUUGACCAUCAAAUUCCCCAAGCACUGAGCCUCCCCUUCCUCUUGCUCCACCUGAUGGUCCAUCUUAUUGACACUUCUUUCUCCUGGAGCCCACAUCCUGGAGGUCAUCACUGACUACCCGCCCUCUUUGACCUCACCCCACUUCCUCUAUAACCUUGACUUCAUUGUGAAUCACUUCAACCCCACUCCUUACAGCCUUCCUCAUAAACCUUCUGCCUUGAGCCAAUACAACCAACUGCUCUUUGUCCUAUUGGAGAAAAUCACACAACCCACGAUAGUCAGUGCCUCUAGUCGCCCUGUAACAUGGAUCUGGACAACUCUCGUUCCCCUCCCGACAGUUGCUCUUCCAAACAUUUCACAGCUUCCCUAAAGAGACCUGCGCAAUGCCACCAAUUCUCCAUCAGCUGAUAAUCUCUUCCUCUCUCCCCACGAAGAAAGCUGGGGUUUUCGGCAGGAGCCCCAGCUCUCUUCCUUGCUGAUUCUCUGCCCUCCAGAAUGGGGUUGGCCCCCUUACCCCUUAUCCCCACCCUAGCAAGGAGAGAUUAGUAAUCAUAAAUAUCAAGGUCUGCUCUUGGCUUCAUUCAUGGCUUGCCUGGGGAUUCUCACUGGCUUCCUCCGGUUCUUGCAGCCCUAUCUGCUCUGAUACUUUCCUCCUGUAGUGAAGGAAGGUGUUUCCCACUUUGUACCCUCCACUGACCGUCCUACCCUGUUAAAAUGUCUCUAUUCCUCCUAUGCCCCUGCUCCCAGCCAUAAAUGAUUGUGUCUUCUAUGUACCUCACAAUUUACUGAACACAUUUUUCUAUCUCAUUUAAUCCUCUAAAAUAACCCUUUGAAGUGGAUCUUUUUAAAAAAUCUUUAUUUAUUUAUUUAUAUUGAAGUACUGUUGAUUUAUAAUGUUUCAGGUGUACAACAAAGUAAUUCUUUUCCAUUAUAGGUUAUUACAAGAUAUUGAAUAUCGUUCCCUGCGCUAUAUAGUAGAUUCUUGCUGUUUAUCUAUUUUACCUAUGAUAGUGUGUAUCUCUUAAUCUCAAAUUCCUGUUAUCCUUCCCCCACUUUUCCCUUUGGUAACCAUAAGUUUGUUUUCUAUGUCUGUGAGUCUAUUUCUGUUUUGUAAAUAAGUUCAUUUGUAUCUUUUUUUUUAUGAAGAGAAUCUUAUUGUUCCUUUAUCAAUGAUGGUUCAGAGACUUUAAGUAAUUUGCCCAAGACAAGUGAUAGCGCUGGAUGGACCUCAGCCUGCUUCUCUCUUUUCACUCUGCAAUCCUGGCAUCAGUGACCACAGUUCCCUGGCCACAGGUGGAUUCUUAACCACUGCGCCACCAGAGAAGUCCAAAGCAUUCCAUAUUUUUAUGACCAACUCUCUACAAAUUCUUAUCUGUGGAGAAGACAAUGCUUAGAUCUGCAUCACAAUCACCCUUGUUUACUGUGUGUUUUCCUGCUCACCUCCCAGAAUGGACUCUCCCCACCCUCAACAUCCUCUUCUGUCUUUAGCUGAGGGUGGCAUUUAAGAUGAGGGCUUCGCCCAUUUUGGCGAGUUACUCAAUUUUUCUGGGACUCUCCCAUGUACACAUGUUAUUUGAUUUUCUCCUGUUUAAAAAUAAAUAAAUAAAUAAAUAACUUGCCCCAGGCACACGUGUGCCCUCUGUGUAGUGGUGGCUGGAUUCCAACACAGUCUGUGCUUUUCACCAGCACAUCACACUAUCUCUGUCUUAAUGCAUUUGCAGAACACAUCAUGCAUGAGAGCAGAUGACUGUUUGAACUUCACGUGAUGUGUAAAGGAAACCAAAUCUGCUCCUAUUUUUAUUUUUAUUUUUAUUUUAUUUUAUUUUUUUUGCUCCUAUUUUUAGAUGAAUUCCUCCUGACACAAAGCAAGAAUGACUGCUUCCUGGUAGAGCGACUCCCACUUUGAUAGUUUAUCCAGCAUAUAUGAGCACUGGAUAUAGCUGAUCCUAUCACUCAGAUGGAAAAGGAUUUCAUCCCUUUGAAUAUUAUAUUGUCAUAUGUUCUGGAGAGUGAUUAUUUUUGUGAGGAGGAGGAAAACAAAUUAAAGGAAACGAAGGAAAAAUAAACUAAACAAAGGAAAAAAAUAAAAAGUUGCAGUUGAUAAUUCAGUAAGAGGUGUGGAGACUGAAAGCAAAAACAGAGCUUAAAAAAAGUUACCGUGUAAUUAUAUCUCAAUAAAAGGAAAUAAAAACCAGAUUCCCAAGUGACUUUAACUUUAGUUGUUCAAGCCAACUUACACAAAAGUCUUUUUCAAGUCUUAUGAUGCGUUUGACAAGAUCUCCAGGAUCUAAACUCAAGCUAAACCAUAAGAUAAAGCUAACUGCAGAUGAAAAAGAUAUGGCUGCCUACACCACCUUUAUCUGAAAGAGACCAAAAAGGAAAGCCGUGUUUUGUGAAAUUCUCAAGGGAGAAGAGAAUAAACAUUUACCCAGUACUUACCACAUGCCAGGCCUGUCAACAGAAAUUGGUUGAUCUCCUUAUCUCCAAUAUACAGAUGAAGAAGCUGAGGCUCAGUAGGUCAUGAAGAGAGUAAGGACUGGACCCAAGCUUUAACCCAUGUCUCUUUAUAAUACAACAUUCUGUCCACAAAUUCUUGGUACAUCGCUAUAGGUUUCUGACUUCAAAAAUGAUUAAUAUAUAAUCAUUUUGUAAUAUAUACACAUAUCAAAUCAUGAUGCUAUAUACUUGAAACUAAUAUAAUGUUAUAUGUCAAUUAUAUCUCAAUUUAAAGUAAUUAUUAACAGUGUACACUUAUCUACCCAAAUCUGGGUCUCCAGAGCCACUCUAGUUACUGCCCUAGAUGUGUCCCAAUCCACUUCUAGCCUGACAGUUUUGAACAAAUAGCAUUGGUAUAUGAAGAAAUUGUACUUGAACCUUACCCUUUGAGUUAAAAAACUGCAAUUUGUAAUAGGAAAUAACAUUUCAUAUCGCGACCCACUACACACAGAUAGGGUGUUUAAGUGCACUACUUCAAGAAACAAUAUUGGGACUUCUCUGGCAGUCCAAUGGUUAGGACUCGGGGCUUCCACUGCCAGGGCCCCAGAUUCGAUGCCUGGUCAGAGAACUAAGGCUCCGCAAGCCGCAGGGACAAAAAAAAAACACCCAAAAAACAAACAAACAAAAAACCCCAAUACUGGGGCUUCCCUGGUGGCGCAGUGGUUGAGAGUCCGCCUGCCGAUGCCAGAGACACGGGUUCGUGCCCCGGUCCGGGAAGAUCCCACAUGCCGCGGAGCGGCUGGGCCCGUGAGCCAUGGCCGCUGGGCCUGCGCGUCCGGAGCCUGUGCUCUGCAACGGGAGAGGCCACAACAAUGAGAGCCCCACAUAUCGCAAAAAAAAAACAAACAAAAAACAAUAUUUAACUUUGUUACAUGCACUGCUCUCCUAUUUUCUUUUCUAUUCCACUUUUAAAAUAUGCUGAUCUUGAGCUGUUAAACUGAUUUCAUGGCACACCAAUGGGUUAAGAUCUACCGUUUGAAAAACACUGUCCUUUAGGGUUUUGGUUGAUAUUGAGAUAUUUUUUUCUUGUUUUGUAAAUGCAGAAAUAUAGGCUCUAAAGAAUGAGGUGACUUCCUUAAAUUCACACAGCUAAGAAAUAUUGGAUGGAGGACCUCAACACAGAAUUCUGUGUUUAUGCCCAGUAUUCUUCUGAAUACAGAAUUUCUUCAGGGGAAGUGUAAAUGAGAAAUUGAAGAAAACCCAUAUGCAACCCUGUGAGAAGAGAGACAUAGCUGUGUGAAGAGUCAAAAGAGGAACAUUUCAUAGGAGUCUCGCUGCAGCUGACGCAUUUGACAGUCAUUUCUAGGGGACGCCUGCUCUGGGCCAGGUGGAAGAAGUUAACUGUACACUGUCUACAAGCACGUAGACCCCAGACCAGUUGGAACCAGAAGGUUGAUGAUGCUGACUCCCGAUUACCUCACCACCAACCAAUCAGAAGAAUGUCCACGAGCUGACCACACCCUGCUCCUUGAACACUAUAAGACUCCUCACUACCCGCUCCGGGGUGGGGCACACAGUCUUGAGGAUGUUAGCCCACUGUGGCCCCCUUUGUCUGGCAAAGCAAUAAAAGCUACUCUUUUCUACCUCAC